Long non-coding RNA from Asparagus officinalis (garden asparagus), 646 nucleotides. RefSeq lists it as uncharacterized. The record is from RefSeq and is a predicted model, not a curated record. NCBI's taxonomy places the organism in Eukaryota, Viridiplantae, Streptophyta, Magnoliopsida, Asparagales, Asparagaceae. The transcript is spliced from 2 exons.
UCUUGAUGUUGUUGGCUGGUUGGUACUUUAUGUUGUUAUUGGCUUGUGGUGUUGUUUCCUGGUUCAUACAUGAUGUUGUUAGUUGGUGGUGUUGUUGCUUGGUAGUUGAUAUUGUUGUUGGCUGAUGGUGUUGUUGCCUGGUAGUGUUGUUGGCUGGUGAUGUUGUUUCUGAAUAAUUAUUUUGAUAUUGUUUACGGGUGUUCAAAUUAAGCUAUGAUGCAUUUCAAUUUAUCUGAUAUUAGCAUUGCAGUUUAAGCUCAACCUUUUAGCCCAACAACUUCCCACAGAAGAGGAGGUGUAGUCUGCCAAUGCAAUUUUGAAGUCAUGGAAGGAACAGUAUCAGAGUUUGCAUAUGAGCUUGAGAAAUGCCAACUUGCAAGCAAAAUCGAACAUCCAGAAAGCUGCACGGGAAGAGGCGAGUUGUCUGUUAUGCUUCAUUAAUUGUUUCUCUAUCAUUUAUUUGCAUUUUUUUCUUUGUACUUAUAGCCACAUUUAAAAUGCAUGAUAUUGCUGCAUUUGAGUUUUUAGUCUUUCUUGUCCUGUUACUCGAAGGAAAUGACUAUUCUUUCUGGUUCCUAAUGAGAAAAUUGUGCAAGUGGAUGGUGCAUGAUAUUGCUACAUCUAAGUUAACAUAUCAUUGUUUGUA